Rosa rugosa (rugosa rose) is the source of this 337-nucleotide long non-coding RNA. RefSeq lists it as uncharacterized. Lineage: Eukaryota; Viridiplantae; Streptophyta; Magnoliopsida; Rosales; Rosaceae. The record is from RefSeq and is a predicted model, not a curated record. The transcript has 2 exons.
CCGUAUGUCUAAGAACUGAGAAUCAAUUACAUAGCCACCGAGCCACCUCCCUUUGAGGCUCAAUCCCGCCGAUCUGACUCCCUCUGUCCCUCACCGCGACUCCCUCUUACUCUCUGAGGCUCAGACGCUUAGUCCCGCCACUGUCCCCACCGAGCCACCUCCACCGCUCCACCAUUUGAAACGGUGGUAGUAUUGGAAGGGAGCAGUGGAGCAAUUUGGUUGGAGAUUUUAUCUCUUCAAGUCUUCAUCUUGUGAGUUUAAUUUGGUCAUAAUCUUCUCUUAUGAUGGAGAUUCAUCUUAUAUUACUGCUAUGUCAUUAUUGAUGCCUUAAUGCCUA